GGGAAGAGCUCAAAGUUAAAAUCGGUGUACCGAGAGGUGCUCCGAAUUGUAAUCUAGAGACACUUUUUCAGCUCUGACCCGGGUAUAAAUCUUUUGAAACAAGGUGUCAUAGAGGGUGAGAAUCCCGUCUUUGACCCGGAGUUCGGGGCGUACGAAGGGUGUUCCAAGAGUCGAAUAGCUUGGGAAUGCUGUUCUAAAUGGGUGGUAAAUUUCAUCUAAAGCUAAAUAUCGACGAGAGACCGAUAGCGAACAAGUACCGUGAGGGAAAGAUGAAAAGAACUUUGAAAAGAGAGUUAAAAAGUACUUGAAAUUGUUAAGAAGGAAGCACUGGAAACCAGUUGUGCUUGUGUUACAUAGACACUACGUUGGUGAGAGGGCAAAUCGGUACCUCAUAGGGCCGACCAAACUUCAGAGCUAGCGUAGUGUUCUCGUAGCAUGAGUGAGUCAGGAUCUGGUAGUUCUGAAGAAGAAAGCUAGUGGAAGGUAGUCAAUCAUCAGCGAUGGUGGUUGAAACUUAUAGCCGCUGGUCAAACUUCGGAGCUGCCAGAGGAACCACGAUAAUGCGCUCCGCAAGGCUGCUGGUGGGGGUCCCUAGCUGGCGGUGAUUUUGAAGAGCAAAGCUCUGAAGAGGUCACCGCUGGUUACUGGGUUUUCACUAGACCGCGCAUUCGCGAUCCUGACGAAAUGGUUUUCAUUGACCCGUCUUGAAACACGGACCAAGGAGUCUAACAUAUAUGCGAGUAUUUGGGUGUGAAAACCCUGAUGCGCAAUGAAAGUGAAGCUAGACCUAGUCUAGUGAGGUAGGAACCGCAAGGGGCACUAUCGACCGAUCGUUCAUUCAUGAAAGAUUUGAGUAAGAGCAUAUCUGUUGGGACCCGAAAGAUGGUGAACUAUGCCUGAUCAGGGUGAAGCCAGGGGAAACUCUGGUGGAGGCUCGUAGCGAUACUGACGUGCAAAUCGUUCGUCUGAAUUGGGUAUAGGGGCGAAAGACUAAUCGAACCAUCUAGUAGCUGGUUCCCGCCGAAGUUUCCCUUAGGAUAGCUGGAACUUAUACAGUUUUAUCAGGUAAAGCUAAUGAUUAGAGGUCCUAGAGUUGAAACAACUUUAACCUAUUCUCAAACUUUAAAUAGGUAAGAAAUCUAUGCUUUCUUUAUUGAAGCUAGAUCUCGAAUGAAAGUUCUUAGUGGGCCAUUUUUGGUAAGCAGAACUGGCGAUGCGGGAUGAACCGGACGUUAAGUUAAGGUGCCAAACUAUUCGCUCAUCUAGAUACUCCUAAAAGGUGUUGGUUCAUUUAGACAGCAGGACGGUGGUCAUGGAA
This 1318-nucleotide ribosomal RNA is filed under the name Cercomonas sp. HFCC541. RNAcentral's name for it is "eukaryotic LSU rRNA". It matches the Rfam family "Eukaryotic large subunit ribosomal RNA", at positions 100 to 1259 of the family's 3401-position model. Lineage: Eukaryota; Cercozoa; Cercomonadida; Cercomonadidae. The record is from RNAcentral.